UAGGGAAUCUUCCACAAUGGACGCAAGUCUGAUGGAGCAACGCCGCGUGAGUGAAGAAGGUUUUCGGAUCGUAAAGCUCUGUUGUUGGUGAAGAAGGAUAGAGGUAGUAACUGGCCUUUAUUUGACGGUAAUCAACCAGAAAGUCACGGCUAACUACGUGCCAGCAGCCGCUGUAAUACGUAGGUGGCAAGCGUUGUCCGGAUUUAUUGUGCGUAAAGCUAGCGCAGGCGGAAGAAUAAGUCUGAUGUGAAAGCCCUCGGCUUAACCGAGGAACUGCAUCGGAAACUGUUUUUCUUUAGUGCAGAAGAGGAUAGUGGAAUUCCAUGUGUAGCGGUGGAAUGCGUAAAUAUAUGGAAGAACACCAGUGGCGAAGGCGACUCUCUGGUCUGCAACUGACGCUGAGGCUCGAAAGCAUGGGUAGCGAACAGG
RNAcentral lists this ribosomal RNA (429 nucleotides) under bacterium. RNAcentral describes it as "partial 16S ribosomal RNA". It matches the Rfam family "Bacterial small subunit ribosomal RNA", at positions 355 to 776 of the family's 1533-position model. The record is from RNAcentral.